AGUGAACGCUGGCGGUAGGCCUAACACAUGCAAGUCGAACGGCAGCACAGUAAGCGCUUGCUCUUACGGUUGGCGAGUGGCGGACGGGUGAGGAAUACAUCGGAAUCUACUUUUUCGUGGGGGACAACGUAGGGAAACUUACGCUAAUACCGCAUACGACCUACGGGUGAAAGCAGUGGUGCUUCGCACCUUGCGCGACUGAAUGAGCCGAUGUCGGAUUAGCUAGUUGGCUGGGUAAAGGCCCACCAAGGCGACGAUCCGUAGCCGGUCUGAGAGGAUGAUCAGCCACACUGGAACUGAGACACGGUCCAGACUCCUACGGGAGGCAGCAGUGGGGAAUAUUGGACAAUGGGCGCAAGCCUGAUCCAGCCAUACCGCGUGAGUGAAGAAGGCCUUCGGGUUGUAAAGCCCUUUUGUUGGGAAAGAAAAGCAGCAGGUUAAUACCCCGCUGUUCUGACGGUACCCAAAGAAUAAGCACCGGCUAACUUCGUG
Molecule: ribosomal RNA, 492 nt
Filed under: uncultured bacterium
Lineage: Bacteria
Description: partial 16S ribosomal RNA
Rfam family: Bacterial small subunit ribosomal RNA
Source: RNAcentral